AGUGAACGCUGGCGGUAGGCCUAACACAUGCAAGUCGAACGAGUGGCGGACGGGUGAGGAAUACAUCGGAAUCUACUCUGUCGUGGGGGAUAACGACGGGAAACUUACGCUAAUACCGCAUACGAUUGAAUGAGCCGAUGUCGGAGUAGAUAGUUGGCGGGGUAAAGGCCCAGCAAGGCGACGAUCCGUAGCGGGUCUGAGAGGAUGAUCAGCCACACUGGAACGUAGACACGGUCCAGACUCCUACGGGAGGCAGCAGUGGGGACUAUUGGACAAUGGGCGCAAGCCUGAUCCAGCCAUACCGAGUGAGUGAAGAAGGCCUUCGGGUUGUAAAGCCCUUUUGUUGGGAAAGCGGUACCUAACGAAUAAGCACCGGCUAACUUCGUGCCAGCCGCCGCGGUAAUAC
This 406-nucleotide ribosomal RNA is filed under the name uncultured bacterium. Its description in RNAcentral is "partial 16S ribosomal RNA". It matches the Rfam family "Bacterial small subunit ribosomal RNA", at positions 29 to 526 of the family's 1533-position model. The record is from RNAcentral.